Molecule: long non-coding RNA, 1299 nt
Organism: Stegostoma tigrinum
Lineage: Eukaryota; Metazoa; Chordata; Chondrichthyes; Orectolobiformes; Stegostomatidae
Exons: 4
Source: RefSeq, a predicted model, not a curated record
CAGGUCAUCUUUUUAAAACAGCCAUGCUUUUACCUAUUACCACACAUUGUGGAUUCUUUUAAACUUGUAAUCCUGAAGAAAAUAUACAUUUCUGCACAUCAGCAGGAUUGCGGCAGAUUUUAUAACUUCACCUGCAGCUUUUGUUUGCAUUACCUGCAGGUACCAUCUCGCUCACUCUAUGUUAAAAAAAAACACCUAUCUGCUGACUGUCUUGCAAUCCUUGCCAGCGAGGACUGAACUCAUAAAUUGAGCGGACAGUAGGAGUUUGGAAUCUGCAAAAACAGAACGUGUUCAAUACUUAACCGGCCCGUCAUGAGUUGGCUCCUGGACGGGGUGCAGAUGGGCUGGAUGUAGUAGUUCUCCAACUUAACCCCUUGUGCAGCAAGCCUGUCCAGGGUCGGGGUGUGGAUUUCCGAGCCGUGAUAGCCCACAUCGUGGAAGCCUUGGUCGUCGGCGAGGAUGAAGAUGAUGUGCGGUCUGGAGGCGCUCUGGCUGCCGGGAUCCUGCACACCGGGGGCUCGCAGUUCAGGUUCGAGCCAGUCCCAGGACAAGUAACCGAAGGCUGAAUUUCUGCCUGACAAAUUGAAGCUGAGACGUUCUCACCUGCAGUUAUUUUUUGGACUCUGAGAGGCAUCUGAACGUUUGAUUUCAGUUCAAUUUUGUUGGCUGCAAUAACAUACAUAGAUGACUGAAAAUGCAGACUUCCUGAUUCCAGUCCAGUGCCAGGACCAGUGCCACUCCCAAACUGCCUUCAGAGUUAAAUCCAUUCUAUAGCCUGUCCAUAUAAAUGUCCACCAAAAAUUGAAUGGACAACACUGAUUUAUAAUUGUCUGAUUUGUCACAAUUUCACUGCAAGCCCAAAUUACUUACAUUUCAUAACUAGAACACAGUCAUAGCGCCCAGGCAAGUCAGCGCAAUUUAUUUGAUACGUGGGCCUUCAUUUUCUUACAGCCGCCACCUCUGAUAAAUGAAUAGUUGUGGUCAACAUGGGAAACAAAAAUACACCUAAACGCUGAACACUGUCUUCUACUGAAAAGAAUGCUGCCUUUCUGUGCUCACACUCCUGUAUCUGGACUGCUUUUGUUGUAAGAAUUUGAAUUUCCCGAAAAUUUAUCUUCUUCACAUUACAUUCUUGUCAAAUUAGUUAAGCCUUGCUUCAGGAUGAAGAAGUGGCAUUGGAUUUCAUACAAAAUACAAUUUUCUGUUGUACAUUUCAGUAAUCAACAUUUCAUGCAUGAAUAUCUUUGACCAGCAUACUCGUUUUUGGUUUUAUCAGUUAUAAAUGUUGUUGUUAUUGUU